This 988-nucleotide long non-coding RNA is filed under the name Fukomys damarensis (Damara mole-rat). RNAcentral describes it as "lncRNA (ENSFDAG00000032177.1)". Lineage: Eukaryota; Metazoa; Chordata; Mammalia; Rodentia; Bathyergidae. The record is from RNAcentral.
CCCGGCCUGGACUCUUGGAGAUGAUGAGGGACCACUCAGACCUAACGGACGACCUAGAACAAAGCACCUCACAGAGGAAGUGCUCCAGCAGGGCUGGUUUGGGGCUGCAAGGACAGCGACCCAGGCCUGCUCUCCACUGCCCCAUGAUGUGGGGAACUGGGGUGGCCGUAUCGAUCCUACUGUGGCUAAUCCGUGAUGGCCCCCGGUGCUUGCUGCCCACCUGGGAUAGAAAGAUGUGGAAGUGACACACAGCUGACUAACUUGGGGAGAGAAAGGAAGACCGCGAUGGGAAGAAACAAAGGCGGCAUUUUUUGUGUGAAAAGAAGACGUGUUUGAGGUGUUCCACAGUCCUGUGCCGGUAGAGAGCAUCCUGGGGCAGCUGUGCACAGCUCGUGUUGGAGUCACCUUCGCUGAAAGCCAGUGAUUCCCAUGGCCGUGCCCCUCCAUUUAUUGUUUUCCCUUUUAUUAGUGUGUGUUUGUAAAACACUAUAGUAAAGAUACUCAGCGUGGGGAAUCACUACAUAUUCAUGUCACAUCUCGAUCCUCUUUGCUUCCCCUUUCCCUCUCCUCCCUCUCAUCUCCCCGUCACUGUCUGCUUCCCAUCCUUUCAGAUAACCAACUCUUCGAUUCAUUAAUCCUUUGCAUUAUUUUUUUGUCUCGAUUUCACCAAUUUAAGCUCCAACCUUUGUCAUUUCUUUCCUUCUACUCGUUUUACCAUUGAGUUGCUGUUGUUUCUCUAGAACCUUGAGAUUUAUGUAUUUGCAGUCACUCUGUUCUUGUUGUGUGUGCGUUGGUAGCUGUAAGCUUGCUUCCCUCUUAGAACUGCUUUCGUUGGGUACCAUAGGUUUUGUCAUGUGCUUCCAUGAUCAUUCCAUUCUAGAACUUUUAAAAAAUUUCUUCCAUAAUCCAUCAAUUAUUCAAUAUUGUUUCAAUCUCCACUUAUUUGUGUAGCUUUAUUUCUUCCUUUUGAUUUUUAGCUUUAUUCCUC